AAGAGCAAGCUCAGUGUUUCCUUCAAGCAGCAUUGUGGACAGAUUCCUGCCAGACCCUUCAGAGCAAGUACCCCACACCCCUAGCCCAGGGUCUCUUCCUCGAUAGGGGGUGAUCUGUCUGCCCCUCACUGUUUUCUCCAAAUAGAGAUAAGGUCUCACUAUGUUGCCAUGGCUGGUCUCAAACUCCCGUGUUCAAGUCAUCUGCCUGCCUCGGCCUCCUAAAGGGGAAGUGGGAUUACAGCCUUCUCCACAGCCCAGCCACUGUGAGGGAGUCAUCAGCACUGGAACCCAGGGGCCAUGGCCUUGGAGGAUCCGGACCCUCUGCAUUUGAGGAACUUGGCUUCCAGUCAGGGAGCCAAGAUGUCCCUGCCAAUCAAGGAGGGGGUGUGGGCUGGUGGAGGAGGCAGCCUUGGGGCACGGGAACUAAUAGACCAGACUCAAGGGUUCUACUCCUGACUUCUAGAUUGUUCCGCCUCCGUAUGGAAUAUGUUCCUUCCAUCUAACACUGUGGGAUUUGGGGACCAUCCAACUCAAAUGAAAGAAGCCAAACCAUGCAGUGAGCCACCCCCUCCCCAAUGUGGGGUACCCCCUGCCCCCCGCCCAGCUCCCCUGCCCUCUCAGCUGAGGGGGGAUCACUGCCUGGUGAUCUCAGCCUCCCCUCCAAGUGGGCUGUGAAGUGUCUAAUCCAGGCUUUCAUUUGGCAUCCACAAUUAUAAUGUCAAGAUUGAAUAAUCUGCCUUUAUCUCCCGGGUGACAGCCAUGUAGAAACUUCAAAAGAAACAGUUUUGCUGGCAUCUAACGGCUUUUGUUAAUUACUAUAUCCCAAAGAAAAUGAAAUAAAGGAGGGAGAAAAAUGAUA
Long non-coding RNA from Pongo pygmaeus (Bornean orangutan), 859 nucleotides. RefSeq lists it as uncharacterized. The transcript has 3 exons. Lineage: Eukaryota; Metazoa; Chordata; Mammalia; Primates; Hominidae. The record is from RefSeq and is a predicted model, not a curated record.